UACGAAGGGGGCGAGCGUUGUUCGGAAUUACUGGGCGUAAAGGGCGCGCAGGCGGCUCGACAAGUCAGAUGUGAAAGCCCCGGGCUCAACCUGGGAACGGCAUUUGGGACUGUCGGGCUAGAGUUCGGGAGAGGUGGGUGGAAUUCCCAGUGUAGAGGUGAAAUUCGUAGAUAUCAGGAGGAACACCAAUUGCGAAGGCAGCUCGCUGGGACGUUACUGACGCUGAUGCGCGAAAGCGUGGGGAGCAAACAGG
Molecule: ribosomal RNA, 253 nt
Filed under: uncultured bacterium
Lineage: Bacteria
Description: partial 16S ribosomal RNA
Rfam family: Bacterial small subunit ribosomal RNA
Source: RNAcentral